This 497-nucleotide ribosomal RNA is filed under the name uncultured bacterium. RNAcentral describes it as "partial 16S ribosomal RNA". It matches the Rfam family "Bacterial small subunit ribosomal RNA", at positions 28 to 507 of the family's 1533-position model. The record is from RNAcentral.
GAUGAACGCUGGCGGCGUGCCUAAUACAUGCAAGUCGAGCGAGCGGACGAGAAGCUUUCUUCUCUGAUUGUAGCGGCGGACGGGGGGUUAAAACGGGGAUAACCGACCUAUAAGACUGGGAUAACUUCUGGAAACCGGGGCUAUACCCGGAUAGUAUGUUGAACCGCAUGGUUCAAAAGUGGAAGGCUGUCUUGCUGUCACUUAUAGUGGGAUCCGCGCUGCAUUAGCUAGUUGGUAAGGUAACUGCUUACCAAGGCAACGAUGCAUAGCCGACCUGAGAGGGAGAGCGGGCACACUGGCACUGAGAGACGGUCCAGACUCCUACGGGAGGCAGCCGUAGGGAAUCUUCCUCAAUGGGCGGAAGCCUGACGGAGCAACGCCGCGUGCGUGAUGAAGGUCUUCGGAUCGUAAAACUACGUCUUUCGCGAAGAACAUAUGUGCAAGUAGCUGCGCCCAUCUUGACGGUACCUAAUCAGAAAGCCACGGCUAACUACGUG